AUUAACAUAGUUUAGUUAAAAUGUUACUUUGUGGAAGUAAAGAUGAAGUUUCUGUUGAUA
This 60-nucleotide transfer RNA is filed under the name Stygobromus indentatus. Its description in RNAcentral is "tRNA-His". The record is from RNAcentral. Lineage: Eukaryota; Metazoa; Arthropoda; Malacostraca; Amphipoda; Crangonyctidae.